This 520-nucleotide ribosomal RNA is filed under the name uncultured Entrophospora. RNAcentral describes it as "SSU rRNA". It matches the Rfam family "Eukaryotic small subunit ribosomal RNA", at positions 569 to 1082 of the family's 1831-position model. The record is from RNAcentral. Lineage: Eukaryota; Fungi; Glomeromycota; Glomeromycetes; Entrophosporales; Entrophosporaceae.
AGCAGCCGCGGUAAUUCCAGCUCCAAUAGCGUAUAUUAAAGUUGUUGCAGUUAAAAGCUCGUAGUUGAAUUUCGGGAUUGGCGCAUCGGUCGUGCCUCACGGGGUAUGAACUGGUGCAGUCAAUUUCUCACCUUCUGGAGAACCGCGAUGUCCUUAAUUGGAUGCCGCGGGGAACCAGGACCUUUACUUUGAAAAAACUUAGAGUGUUUAAAGCAGGCAUUUUUGCUUGAAUACAUUAGCAUGGAAUAAUAAAAUAGGACGGCAUGGUUCUAUUUUGUUGGUUUCUAGGACCACCGUAAUGAUUAAUAGGGAUAGUUGGGGGCAUUAGUAUUCAAUUGUCAGAGGUGAAAUUCUUGGAUUUAUUGAAGACUAACUACUGCGAAAGCAUUUGCCAAGGAUGUUUUCAUUAAUCAAGAACGAAAGUUAGGGGAUCGAAGACGAUCAGAUACCGUCGUAGUCUUAACCAUAAACUAUGCCGACUAGGAAUCAGACGAUGUUAAUUUUUUCAAUGACUCGUUUG